ACAACUAGGAUGUUGGCUUAGAAGCAGCCAUCAUUUAAAGAGUGCGUAAUAGCUCACUAGUCGAGUGACACUGCGCCGAAAAUGUACCGGGGCUAAACAUAUUACCGAAGCUGUGGAUUGUCCUUUGGACAAUGGUAGGAGAGCGUUCUAAGGGCGUUGAAGCAUGAUCGUAAGGACAUGUGGAGCGCUUAGAAGUGAGAAUGCCGGUGUGAGUAGCGAAAGACGGGUGAGAAUCCCGUCCACCGAUUGACUAAGGUUUCCAGAGGAAGGCUCGUCCGCUCUGGGUUAGUCGGGUCCUAAGCUGAGGCCGACAGGCGUAGGCGAUGGAUAACAGGUUGAUAUUCCUGUACCACCUAUAAUCGUUUUAAUCGAUGGGGGGACGCAGUAGGAUAGGCGAAGCGUGCGAUUGGAUUGCACGUCUAAGCAGUAAGGCUGAGUAUUAGGCAAAUCCGGUACUCGUUAAGGCUGAGCUGUGAUGGGGAGAAGACAUUGUGUCUUCGAGUCGUUGAUUUCACACUGCCGAGAAAAGCCUCUAGAUAGAAAAUAGGUGCCCGUACCGCAAACCGACACAGGUAGUCAAGAUGAGAAUUCUAAGGUGAGCGAGCGAACUCUCGUUAAGGAACUCGGCAAAAUGACCCCGUAACUUCGGGAGAAGGGGUGCUCUUUAGGGUUAACGCCCAGAAGAGCCGCAGUGAAUAGGCCCAAGCGACUGUUUAUCAAAAACACAGGUCUCUGCUAAACCGUAAGGUGAUGUAUAGGGGCUGACGCCUGCCCGGUGCUGGAAGGUUAAGAGGAGUGGUUAGCUUCUGCGAAGCUACGAAUCGAAGCCCCAGUAAACGGCGGCCGUAAC
RNAcentral lists this ribosomal RNA (850 nucleotides) under Staphylococcus aureus. Its description in RNAcentral is "bacterial LSU rRNA". It matches the Rfam family "Bacterial large subunit ribosomal RNA", at positions 1089 to 1940 of the family's 2925-position model. Lineage: Bacteria; Bacillati; Bacillota; Bacilli; Caryophanales; Staphylococcaceae. The record is from RNAcentral.